ACGGGUGGUAAUGCCGGAUGCUCCAGUUGAUCGCAUGGUCUUCUGGGAAAGCUUUCGCGGUAUGGGAUGGGGUCGCGUCCUAUCAGCUUGACGGCGGGGUAACGGCCCACCGUGGCUUCGACGGGUAGCCGGCCUGAGAGGGCGACCGGCCACAUUGGGACUGAGAUACGGCCCAGACUCCUACGGGAGGCAGCAGUGGGGAAUAUUGCACAAUGGGCGCAAGCCUGAUGCAGCGACGCCGCGUGAGGGAUGGAGGCCUUCGGGUUGUAAACCUCUUUUAUCGGGGAGCAAGCGAGAGUGAGUUUACCCGUUGAAUAAGCACCGGCUAACUACGUGCCAGCAGCCGCGGUAAUACGUAGGGUGCAAGCGUUAUCCGGAAUUAUUGGGCGUAAAGGGCUCGUAGGCGGUUCGUCGCGUCCGGUGUGAAAGUCCAUCGCUUAACGGUGGAUCCGCGCCGGGUACGGGCGGGCUUGAGUGCGGUAGGGGAGACUGGAAUUCCCGGUGUAACGGUGGAAUGUGUAGAUAUCGA
This 529-nucleotide ribosomal RNA is filed under the name Bifidobacterium longum subsp. infantis. RNAcentral describes it as "bacterial SSU rRNA". It matches the Rfam family "Bacterial small subunit ribosomal RNA", at positions 156 to 700 of the family's 1533-position model. Lineage: Bacteria; Bacillati; Actinomycetota; Actinomycetes; Bifidobacteriales; Bifidobacteriaceae. The record is from RNAcentral.